Molecule: ribosomal RNA, 468 nt
Filed under: uncultured bacterium
Lineage: Bacteria
Description: partial 16S ribosomal RNA
Rfam family: Bacterial small subunit ribosomal RNA
Source: RNAcentral
GACGAACGCUGGCGGCGUGCUUAACACAUGCAAGUCGAACGGAAAGGCCCUGCUUUUGUGGGGUGCUCGAGUGGCGAACGGGUGAGUAACACGUGAGUAACCUGCCCUUGACUUUGGGAUAACUUCAGGAAACUGGGGCUAAUACCGGAUAGGAGCUCCUGCUGCAUGGUGGGGGUUGGAAAGUUUCGGCGGUUGGGGCUGGACUCGCGGCUUAUCAGCUUGUUGGUGGGGUAGUGGCUUACCAAGGCUUUGACGGGUAGCCGGCCUGAGAGGGUGACCGGCCACAUUGGGACUGAGGUACGGCCCAGACUCCUACGGGAGGCAGCGGUGGGGAAUAUUGCACAAUGGGCGGAAGCCUGAUGCAGCAACGCCGCGUGCGGGAUGACGGCCUUCGGGUUGUAAACCGCUUUCGCCUGUGACGAAGCGUGAGUGACGGUAAUGGGUAAAGAAGCACCGGCUAACUACGUG